GUGGGGAAUAUUGGACAAUGGGCGAAAGCCUGAUCCAGCCAUGCCGCGUGUGUGAAGAAGGUCUUCGGAUUGUAAAGCACUUUAAGUUGGGAGGAAGGGCAGUAAGUUAAUACCUUGCUGUUUUGACGUUACCAACAGAAUAAGCACCGGCUAACUUCGUGCCAGCAGCCGCGGUAAUACGAAGGGUGCAAGCGUUAAUCGGAAUUACUGGGCGUAAAGCGCGCGUAGGUGGUUCAGCAAGUUGAAGGUGAAAUCCCCGGGCUCAACCUGGGAACUGCAUCCAAAACUACUGAGCUAGAGUACGGUAGAGGGUAGUGGAAUUUCCUGUGUAGCGGUGAAAUGCGUAGAUAUAGGAAGGAACACCAGUGGCGAAGGCGACUACCUGGACUGAUACUGACACUGAGGUGCGAAAGCGUGGGGAGCAAACAGGAUUAGAUACCCCAGUAGUCC
This 450-nucleotide ribosomal RNA is filed under the name uncultured bacterium. RNAcentral describes it as "partial 16S ribosomal RNA". It matches the Rfam family "Bacterial small subunit ribosomal RNA", at positions 354 to 796 of the family's 1533-position model. The record is from RNAcentral.